UACGUAGGGUGCGAGCGUUGUCCGGAAUUAUUGGGCGUAAAGGGCUCGUAGGCGGUUUGUCGCGUCGGGAGUGAAAACACCGGGCUUAACUCGGUGCUUGCUUUCGAUACGGGCAGACUAGAGGUAUGCAGGGGAGAACGGAAUUCCUGGUGUAGCGGUGAAAUGCGCAGAUAUCAGGAGGAACACCGGUGGCGAAGGCGGGUCCCUGGGCCGUAACUGACGCUGAGGAGCGAAGGCAUGGGGAGCGAACAGG
This 253-nucleotide ribosomal RNA is filed under the name uncultured bacterium. RNAcentral's name for it is "partial 16S ribosomal RNA". It matches the Rfam family "Bacterial small subunit ribosomal RNA", at positions 524 to 776 of the family's 1533-position model. The record is from RNAcentral.